UCGUUCGUCUUCCGGAAAUGCUGGCUUCGAACCAGGUGGUCGGGGGUUCGAGUCCCUCCGGGCGCGCCA
RNAcentral lists this transfer RNA (69 nucleotides) under Gammaproteobacteria bacterium. RNAcentral describes it as "tRNA-Arg". Lineage: Bacteria; Pseudomonadati; Pseudomonadota; Gammaproteobacteria. The record is from RNAcentral.